UCUUUAGAUUUAAUUUAAGAUCGGGCCUGCCCAUUGAUUUUAUAAUUAAAAGGCUGCGGUAUUUUAACUGUACGAAGGUAGCAUAAUCACUUGUCUUUUAAUUGAAGGCUAGAAUGAAUGGUUUGAUGAAAAAUAGUCUUUCUUUUUUUAAUUAAUUUGAAUUUAACUUUUUAGUUAAAAGGCUAAAAUUUUUUUAUAGGACGAGAAGACCCUAUAGAAGUUUACUUUAUUAAUUAUUUUUUAUUUUUUGUUUUUAAAAUAAUUUUUUUAAAAUAGAGUUUUGUUGGGGUGACAUUAAAAUGUAUUUAACUUUUAAUUAUUUUUUCAUUAAUUUAUGUUUUAUUGAUCUUAGAUUCUGGAUUAUAAGUAUAACUUACCUUAGGGAUAACAGCGUAAUUUUUUUGGAGAGAUCAUAUC
This 417-nucleotide ribosomal RNA is filed under the name Limnometra sp. JD-2014. Its description in RNAcentral is "partial 16S large subunit ribosomal RNA". The record is from RNAcentral. Lineage: Eukaryota; Metazoa; Arthropoda; Insecta; Hemiptera; Gerridae.